RNAcentral lists this ribosomal RNA (440 nucleotides) under uncultured bacterium. RNAcentral's name for it is "partial 16S ribosomal RNA". It matches the Rfam family "Bacterial small subunit ribosomal RNA", at positions 338 to 795 of the family's 1533-position model. The record is from RNAcentral.
CCUACGGGCGGCAGCAGUGGGGGAUAUUGCACAAUGGGGGAAACCCUGAUGCAGCGACGCCGCGUGUGGGAAGACGGUCCUCUGGAUUGUAAACCACUGUUCUCAGGGACGAAGAUGACGGUACCUGGGGAGGAAGCUCCGGCUAACUACGUGCCAGCAGCCGCGGUAAUACGUAGGGAGCGCGCGUUGCCCGGAAUUACUGGGUGAAAGGGGAGCGUAGGCGGGACUGCAAGUUGGGUGUCAAAUCUACCGGCUCAACCGGUAGCCGCACUCAAAACUGCAGUUCUUGAGUGAAGUAGAGGCAGGCGGAAUGCGUGGUGUAGCGGUGAAAUGCGUAGAUAUUAGGAGGAACACCAGUGGCGAAGGCGGCCUGCUGGGCUUUUACUGACGCUGAGGCUCGAAAGUGUGGGGAGCAAACAGGAUUAGAUACCCCGGUAGUC